Molecule: ribosomal RNA, 253 nt
Filed under: uncultured bacterium
Lineage: Bacteria
Description: partial 16S ribosomal RNA
Rfam family: Bacterial small subunit ribosomal RNA
Source: RNAcentral
UACGAAGGGGGCUAGCGUUGCUCGGAAUCACUGGGCGUAAAGCGCACGUAGGCGGAUCGUUAAGUCAGGGGUGAAAUCCUGGAGCUCAACUCCAGAACUGCCUUUGAUACUGGCGACCUUGAGUUCGGGAGAGGUGAGUGGAACUGCGAGUGUAGAGGUGAAAUUCGUAGAUAUUCGCAAGAACACCAGUGGCGAAGGCGGCUCACUGGCCCGAUACUGACGCUGAGGCGCGAAAGCCAGGGGAGCGAACGGG